UGAUGAGGUACUUUUUGUAGAACGGUCCGGCGAGUUAUUGUAUGUAGCGAGCUUAAGGUGUUCAGCACCGGAGGCGAAGCGAGAGCGAGUCUGAAUAGGGCGACACAGUUGCAUGCAAUAGACCCGAAACCAGGUGACCUAUCCAUGGGCAGGUUGAAGUGGGGGUAAAACCCCAUGGAGGACCGAACCGACCCCCGUUGCAAUGGUGGCGGAUGACCUGUGGAUAGCGGAGAAAUUCUAAUCGAACUUGGAGAUAGCUGGUUCUCCCCGAAAUAGCUUUAGGGCUAGCGUUGAUUUAGAUUACCGGAGGUAAAGCACUGAAUGGGCUAGGGGCUGAUAAAGUUACUGAACCCUAUCAAACUAAGAAUGCCGGCAAAUUGAUGAUCAGCAGUCAGACUACGUGAGAUAAGUCUCGUGGUCAAAAGGGAAACAGCCCAGACCCACAGCUAAGGUCCCAAAUAUACGCUAAGUGGAAAACGAUGUGGAAUUGCGAAAACAACCAGGAUGUUGGCUUAGAAGCAGCCACUCAUUAAAAGAGUGCGUAAUAGCUCACUGGUCGAGUGACUCUGCGCGGAAAAUAUAACGGGGCUAAGCGUAUAACCGAAGCUUGGGAUGCAGCAAUGCAUGGUAGGGGAGCGUCGAAUACGGGGUGAAGUCGCAGCGGAAGCAGCGGUGGACUGUAUUCGAGUGAGAAUGCCGGAAUGAGUAGCGAGAAUUAUGUGGGAAUCAUAAUGGCCGAAAAUCUAAGGUUUCUUGGGGAAGGUUCGUCCGCCCAAGGUAAGCCGGGAGCUAAGGCGAGGCCGAAAGGCGUAGUCGAUGCACAUACGGUUGAAAUUCCGUAGCCACCGAAACUUAAACCAGAAGGACACUUGGAGCUAUCCGAACCCGGGCGUUGGUUGACCCGGGCGUAAGGGACCGAAAUUAAGUAGGGAAGUCGGAGAAUGACGAGGCGAGAAAAGUUCUGGUGUAUGCUAAGGUGCCCGUACCGCAAACCGACACAGGUAGAUGAGGAGAGAAUCCUAAGGCCAACGGGAGAAGGGUUGUUAAGGAACUCGGCAAAUUGACCCCGUAACUUCGGGAAAAGGGGAGCCGGCUACGGCCGGCCGCAGAGAAUAGGCCCAAGCAACUGUUUACCAAAAACACAGGUCUCUGCUAAAUCGAAAGAUGACGUAUAGGGGCUGACGCCUGCCCGGUGCCGGAAGGUUAAGAGGAGAGCUUAGCGCAAGCGAAGGUUUGAAUUGAAGCCCCGGUAAACGGCGGCCGUAACUAUAACGGUCCUAAGGUAGCGAAAUUCCUUGUCAGGUAAGUUCUGACCCGCACGAAUGGCGUAAUGAUUUGGGCACUGUCUCAACAGCCCGCCCGGCGAAAUUGUAGUACUGGUGAAGAUGCCAGUUACCCGCAACUAGACGGAAAGACCCCAUGGAGCUUUACUGUAGCCUAAUACUGAAGAUCGGUAAUGCAUGUACAGGAUAGGUGGGAGCCGGAGAAACCCGGGCGUCAGCUCGGGCGGAGGCAACCUUGGAAUACCACCCUUGUAUUGCUGGUUUUCUAACCUGCGGCCAUGAAUCUGGUCGGGGGACACUGUUAGGUGGGCAGUUUGACUGGGGCGGUCGCCUCCAAAAGAGUAACGGAGGCGCUCAAAGGUUGGCUCAGCACGGACGGAAAUCGUGCAUAGAGUGCAAACGCAUAAGCCAAGUUGACUGCGAGACCGACGGGUCGAGCAGGUACGAAAGUAGGACUUAGUGAUCCGGUGGUAGAAAGUGGGAUUGCCAUCGCUCAACGGAUAAAAG
Molecule: ribosomal RNA, 1790 nt
Filed under: human gut metagenome
Description: bacterial LSU rRNA
Rfam family: Bacterial large subunit ribosomal RNA
Source: RNAcentral